UACGAAGGGGGCUAGCGUUACUCGGAAUUACUGGGCGUAAAGCGUGCGUAGGCUGCGUUGUAAGUUGGUAGUUAAAUUCUUGAGCUCAACUCAAGGUCUGCUAUCAAGACUGCAAUGCUAGAGUACUGGAGAAGAUAGUGGAAUUCCUAGUGUAGAGGUGAAAUUCAUAGAUAUUAGGAGGAACACCAGAGGCGAAAGCGACUAUCUGGCCAGAAACUGACGCUGUUGCACGAAAGCGUGGGGAGCAAACAGG
RNAcentral lists this ribosomal RNA (253 nucleotides) under uncultured bacterium. RNAcentral's name for it is "partial 16S ribosomal RNA". It matches the Rfam family "Bacterial small subunit ribosomal RNA", at positions 524 to 776 of the family's 1533-position model. The record is from RNAcentral.